This 780-nucleotide ribosomal RNA is filed under the name Salmonella enterica. RNAcentral describes it as "partial 23S ribosomal RNA". It matches the Rfam family "Bacterial large subunit ribosomal RNA", at positions 573 to 1269 of the family's 2925-position model. Lineage: Bacteria; Pseudomonadati; Pseudomonadota; Gammaproteobacteria; Enterobacterales; Enterobacteriaceae. The record is from RNAcentral.
GUGAAUGCUUUGGGGUGGGGUGACUGCGUACCUUUUGUAUAAUGGGUCAGCGACUUAUAUUCUGUAGCAAGGUUAACCGAAUAGGGGAGCCGGAGGGAAACCGAGUCUUAAUUGGGCGUUAAGUUGCAGGGUAUAGACCCGAAACCCGGUGAUCUAGCCAUGGGCAGGUUGAAGGUUGGGUAACACUAACUGGAGGACCGAACCGACUAAUGUUGAAAAAUUAGCGGAUGACCUGUGGCUGGGGGUGAAAGGCCAAUCAAACCGGGAGAUAGCUGGUUCUCCCCGAAAGCUAUUUAGGUAGCGCCUCGUGAAUUCAUCUCCGGGGGUAGAGCACUGUUUCGGCUAGGGGGCCAUCCCGGCUUACCAACCCGAUGCAAACUGCGAAUACCGGAGAAUGUUAUCACGGGAGACACACGGCGGGUGCUAACGUCCGUCGUGAAGAGGGAAACAACCCAGACCGCCAGCUAAGGUCCCAAAGUCAUGGUUAAGUGGGAAACGAUGUGGGAAGGCCCAGACAGCCAGGAUGUUGGCUUAGAAGCAGCCAUCAUUUAAAGAAAGCGUAAUAGCUCACUGGUCGAGUCGGCCUGCGCGGAAGAUGUAACGGGGCUAAACCAUGCACCGAAGCUGCGGCAGCGAACGUAUCACCCAAGACAACUUUACGGAGUUGACGAUUGACGGAGCGAAGCGACGUCAAAGCGUUCAUUAAAGUCGAGUUGGCUUAGGGAUACGUUCGUUGGGUAGGGGAGCGUUCUGUAAGCCUGUGAAGGUGUGUCGUGAGGC